GGGGCGUUAGCUCAGUUGGUAGAGCAGCGGACUCUUAAUCCGUAGGUCGUCAGUUCGAAUCUGACACGCCCCACCA
RNAcentral lists this transfer RNA (76 nucleotides) under Chitinimonas sp. BJB300. Its description in RNAcentral is "tRNA-Lys". It matches the Rfam family "tRNA". Rfam says of the family: Transfer RNA (tRNA) molecules are approximately 80 nucleotides in length. Their secondary structure includes four short double-helical elements and three loops (D, anti-codon, and T loops). The record is from RNAcentral. Lineage: Bacteria; Pseudomonadati; Pseudomonadota; Betaproteobacteria; Neisseriales; Chitinibacteraceae.